GUAGGUGAACCUGCGGAAGGAUCAUUAUUGAAAUAAACCUGAUGGGUUGCUGCUGGCUCUCUAGGGAGCAUGUGCACACUUGUCAUCUUUAUAUCUCCACCUGUGCACCUUUUGUAGAUCUGGAUAUCUUUCUGAAUGCCUGGCAUUCGGGUUUGAGGAUUGACUUUUGUCUUUCCUUACAUUUCCAGGCCUAUGUUUUCUUCAUAUACACCAUUUAUGUUAUAGAAUGUAAUGAAAAGGGCCUUUGUGCCUACAAACCAUAUACAACUUUCAGCAACGGAUCUCUUGGCUCUC
This 294-nucleotide unclassified non-coding RNA is filed under the name rhizosphere metagenome. Its description in RNAcentral is "partial ribosomal RNA internal transcribed spacer region". The record is from RNAcentral.